UACGGGGGGGGUAAGCGUUGUCCGGAAUUACUGGGCGUAAAGGGCUCGUAGGCGGCCAACUAAGUCAUACGUGAAAUCCCUCAGCUUAACUGGGGAACUGCGUGUGAUACUGGAUGGCUUGGAUUUGGGAGAGGGAUGCGGAAUUCCAGGUGUAGCGGUGAAAUGCGUAGAUAUCUGGAGGAACACCGGUGGCGAAGGCGGCAUCCUGGACCAAUAUUGACGCUGAGGAGCGAAAGCGUGGGGAGCAAACAGG
Molecule: ribosomal RNA, 253 nt
Filed under: uncultured bacterium
Lineage: Bacteria
Description: partial 16S ribosomal RNA
Rfam family: Bacterial small subunit ribosomal RNA
Source: RNAcentral